This 395-nucleotide unclassified non-coding RNA is filed under the name soil metagenome. RNAcentral's name for it is "partial contains 5.8S ribosomal RNA, internal transcribed spacer 2, and large subunit ribosomal RNA". The stretch from base 1 to 122 matches the Rfam family "5.8S ribosomal RNA", at positions 35 to 154 of the family's 154-position model. The record is from RNAcentral.
GAUGAAGAACGUAGUGAAAUGCGAUACUUGGUGUGAAUUGCAGAAUCCCGUGAACCAUCGAGUCUUUGAACGCAAGUUGCGCCCGAAGCCAUCAGGUUGAGGGCACGUCUGCCUGGGCGUCACACAUCGUUGCCCAAUGCCUAUUGCAGUGCAAUAGGAAUUUCUAGGGCGAAUGAUGGCUUCCCGUGAGCGUUGUUGCCUCGCGGUUGGUUGAAAAUCGAGUCCUUGGUAGGGUGUGCCAUGGUAGAUGGUGGUCGAGUUAGAACGAUACCGAUCAUGUGCAUGCUCCCCAAAAUAUGGCCUCUAUGACCCACACGCGUCUUUUGACGCUCAUGACGAGACCUCAGGUCAGGCGGGGCUACCCGCUGAAUUUAAGCAUAUCAAUAAGCGGAGGA